CCCUUAGAUGUCCUGGGCUGCACGCGCGCUACACUGAUGCGUCCAAUAAGCACCUAACCUAAUCCGAAGGGACCGGGUAACCUUAGCAAAGCGCAUCGUGAUGGGGAUAGAUUAUUGCAAUUAUUAGUCUUGAACGAGGAAUUCCUAGUAAGCGCAAGUCAUCAGCUUGUGUUGAUUACGUCCCUGCCCUUUGUACACACCGCCGUCGCUCCUACCGAUUGAGUGAUCCGGUGAAUACUUCGGACUGCAACCGGUGCGGUUUCCGUACCCUUUGCAAAAAGUUGAAUAAACCUUAUCACUUAGAGGAAGGAGAAGUCGUAACA
This 323-nucleotide ribosomal RNA is filed under the name uncultured eukaryote. RNAcentral's name for it is "partial 18S ribosomal RNA". It matches the Rfam family "Eukaryotic small subunit ribosomal RNA", at positions 1470 to 1796 of the family's 1831-position model. The record is from RNAcentral.